This 269-nucleotide ribosomal RNA is filed under the name uncultured prokaryote. RNAcentral's name for it is "partial 16S ribosomal RNA". It matches the Rfam family "Bacterial small subunit ribosomal RNA", at positions 524 to 792 of the family's 1533-position model. The record is from RNAcentral.
UACGUAGGGUGCGAGCGUUGUCCGGAAUUACUGGGCGUAAAGAGCUCGUAGGCGGUUUGUCGCGUCUGCUGUGAAAAUCCGGGGCUCAACCCCGGACUUGCAGUGGGUACGGGCAGACUAGAGUGUGGUAGGGGAGACUGGAAUUCCUGGUGUAGCGGUGAAAUGCGCAGAUAUCAGGAGGAACACCGGCGGCGAAGGCGGCUUGCUGGGCAGCAACUGACGCUGAGGCGCGAAAGCCAGGAGAGCAAACGGGAUUAGAUACCCGCGUA